AUAAUUCAUUUUAGAACUGAAUUCUCGUGGGUCUGCAUAGCAUACCAUAUAUCGUGUGUACAGUAAUUGAAAAUUUGUAGCACCAUGAGAUUCAGCUCUGGCAUGAAUUUC
Non-coding RNA from Glossina morsitans morsitans, 111 nucleotides. The record is from Rfam. NCBI's taxonomy places the organism in Eukaryota, Metazoa, Arthropoda, Insecta, Diptera, Glossinidae.